ACGGCGAGUGAAGCGGGAAGAGCUCAAAUUUGAAAUCUGGUGGCCUCAGGUCAUCCGAGUUGUAAUCUAUAGAAGUGUUUUCCGUGCUGGCUCAUGUACAAGUCCCUUGGAACAGGGCGUCAUAGAGGGUGAGAAUCCCGUCCUUGACAUGAACUACCAGUGCUCUGUGAUACAUUUUCAACGAGUCGAGUUGUUUGGGAAUGCAGCUCAAAAUGGGUGGUAAAUUCCAUCUAAAGCUAAAUAUUGGCGAGAGACCGAUAGCGAACAAGUACCGUGAGGGAAAGAUGAAAAGCACUUUGGAAAGAGAGUUAAACAGUAUGUGAAAUUGUUGAAAGGGAAACGAUUGAAGUCAGUCGUGCUCUUUGGAUUCAGCCGGUUCUGCCGGUGUACUUCCUUUGAGUGGGGUCAACAUCAGUUUUGAUCGCUGGAUAAAGGCUGGAGGAACGUAGUACCCUCGGGUAAACUUAUAGCCUCCUGUCACAUACAGUGGUUGGGACUGAGGAACGCAGCACGCCUUUAUGGCCGGGAUUCGUCCACGUACGUG
RNAcentral lists this ribosomal RNA (544 nucleotides) under Filobasidium magnum. RNAcentral describes it as "LSU rRNA". It matches the Rfam family "Eukaryotic large subunit ribosomal RNA", at positions 86 to 621 of the family's 3401-position model. Lineage: Eukaryota; Fungi; Basidiomycota; Tremellomycetes; Filobasidiales; Filobasidiaceae. The record is from RNAcentral.